This 460-nucleotide ribosomal RNA is filed under the name uncultured bacterium. Its description in RNAcentral is "partial 16S ribosomal RNA". It matches the Rfam family "Bacterial small subunit ribosomal RNA", at positions 338 to 795 of the family's 1533-position model. The record is from RNAcentral.
CCUACGGGAGGCAGCAGUGAGGAAUAUUGGUCAAUGGACGAGAGUCUGAACCAGCCAAGUAGCGUGAAGGAUGACUGCCCUAUGGGUUGUAAACUUCUUUUAUAUGGGAAUAAAAUGUUCCACGUGUGGGAUUUUGUAUGUACCAUAUGAAUAAGGAUCGGCUAACUCCGUGCCAGCAGCCGCGGUAAUACUGAGGAUCCGAGCGUUAUCCGGAUUUAUUGGGUUUAAAGGGAGCGUAGGUGGAUUGUUAAGUCAGUUGUGAAAGUUUGCGGCUCAACCGUAAAAUUGCAGUUGAAACUGGCAGUCGUGAGUACAGUAGAGGUGGGCGGAAUUCGUGGUGUAGCGGUGAAAUGCUUAGAUAUCACGAAGAACUCCGAUUGCGAAGGCAGCUCACUGGACUGCAACUGACACUGAGGCUCGAAAGUGUGGGUAUCAAACAGGAUUAGAUACCCCUGUAGUC